Molecule: ribosomal RNA, 269 nt
Filed under: uncultured bacterium
Lineage: Bacteria
Description: partial 16S ribosomal RNA
Rfam family: Bacterial small subunit ribosomal RNA
Source: RNAcentral
GGGUCCCUACGGGGCGCAGCAGUAGGGAAUUUUCGUCAAUGGGCGCAAGCCUGGACGAGCAAUGCCGCGUGAACGAGGAAGGUCUUCGGAUCGUAAAGUUCUGUUGAAGGGGAAAAAGAGCGGAGUGAGGAAAUGGUCUCCGAUUGAUAUUACCCUUCGAGGAAGUCACGGCUAACUACGUGCCAGCAGCCGCGGUAAUACGUAGGUGGCGAGCGUUAUCCGGAAUGGUUGGGCGUAAAGGGUGCGUAGGCGGCCUGCUAAGUCUGGAG